This 490-nucleotide ribosomal RNA is filed under the name uncultured bacterium. RNAcentral describes it as "bacterial SSU rRNA". It matches the Rfam family "Bacterial small subunit ribosomal RNA", at positions 1 to 526 of the family's 1533-position model. The record is from RNAcentral.
ACUAGCAGUAAGAGUUGAUCAUGGCUCAGGACGAACGCUGGCGGCACGCCUAACACAUGCAAGUCGAACGGCCCCUUCGGGGGCAGUGGCGGACGGGUGAGUAACGCGUGGGAACCUGCCCCUUGGUUCGGGACAACCCGGGAAACCCGGGCUAAUACCGGAUGCGCUCCUGGCUUUGGCUGGGAGGAAAGAUUGAUCGCCGAGGGAUGGGCCCGCGUCGGAUUAGGUUGUUGGUGAGGUAACGGCUCACCAAGCCUACGAUCCGUAGCUGGUCUGAGAGGAUGAUCAGCCACACUGGGACUGAGACACGGCCCAGACUCCUACGGGAGGCAGCAGUGGGGAAUAUUGGACAAUGGGCGAAAGCCUGAUCCAGCAAUGCCGCGUGAGUGAUGAAGGCCUUAGGGUUGUAAAGCUCUUUUACCCGGGAUGAUAAUGACAGUACCGGGAGAAUAAGCUCCGGCUAACUCCGUGCCAGCCGCCGCGGUAAUAC